UUAUGCGCUUCCCAAAAGCGACAUCAAUGCAUCACACACUAGCACAAAUAUACUUGAACUUGGCCAAAAGGCCAAGAACAUAGAUGUGUUUCCAGAUACAUGGGUGUUUUGUAACCAGAUUAGUUUUGGGUAGUAUGAUAACAAGAAAGAAAGAAAGAGGGUGAGGGAGGUGGGGAUUUUGAAGAAGGAUCCCGAGAUCCUGAAGGAGCAGAUUGAUAAGUUGAAUAAGCAAAGAAAGGCAGCAUUAAACCAGCAGCAUCAUCCAUGGAGACCUUCAACAAAGAGAAAACAAACUAAAGUGUGAUGACACUUUUUAUGUACAAAGAACUGGAGGAAGCAACUUUUUGGACAACCUCCACAGCUGUUAACUACCAGGCUAACAACCUUUUGGCAACACAUAUGCUAACAGACAUCAUCAUCUGUUUUUGACAAAUACAUCAAGCAAUAAUUGUAAUUAAGUUAGCCUACAACUGUACCUAUUUUUUGCAAGCUGUUCGAACAGCAAAUGUAAGUAUCUUUUGAACAUUACCAUAAUAUCUACAUUAGUGGUGAUGUUACUAAAACAUGAUCUACAUCUUCUGU
RNAcentral lists this long non-coding RNA (582 nucleotides) under Rosa chinensis. Its description in RNAcentral is "sRNA RchiOBHm_Chr3g0462391". The record is from RNAcentral. Lineage: Eukaryota; Viridiplantae; Streptophyta; Magnoliopsida; Rosales; Rosaceae.